CCUACGGGUGGCUGCAGUGGGGAAUAUUGCACAAUGGGCGCAAGCCUGAUGCAGCCAUGCCGCGUGUGUGAAGAAGGCCUUCGGGUUGUAAAGCACUUUCAGCGGGGAGGAAGGCGGUGAGGUUAAUAACCUCAUCGAUUGACGUUACCCGCAGAAGAAGCACCGGCUAACUCCGUGCCAGCAGCCGCGGUAAUACGGAGGGUGCAAGCGUUAAUCGGAAUUACUGGGCGUAAAGCGCACGCAGGCGGUCUGUCAAGUCGGAUGUGAAAUCCCCGGGCUCAACCUGGGAACUGCAUUCGAAACUGGCAGGCUAGAGUCCUGUAGAGGGGGGUAGAAUUCCAGGUGUAGCGGUGAAAUGCGUAGAGAUCUGGAGGAAUACCGGUGGCGAAGGCGGCCCCCUGGACAAAGACUGACGCUCAGGUGCGAAAGCGUGGGGAGCAAACAGGAUUAGAUACCCGGGUAGUC
RNAcentral lists this ribosomal RNA (465 nucleotides) under uncultured Klebsiella sp. RNAcentral's name for it is "bacterial SSU rRNA". It matches the Rfam family "Bacterial small subunit ribosomal RNA", at positions 338 to 795 of the family's 1533-position model. Lineage: Bacteria; Pseudomonadati; Pseudomonadota; Gammaproteobacteria; Enterobacterales; Enterobacteriaceae. The record is from RNAcentral.